AUGUUCUCUGUAGCUGUGCUCCUGCUGCUGCUGGUUUUUGGAACCUGUGUAAAAUGUGAGCAGUUGAUACAGACAGCAUCUGUGACUGUGCAGCCAGGUCAGCGUCUGACCAUCACCUGUCAGGUCUCUUAUUCUCUACGCAGCUGGAGGACAGCUUGGAUCAGACAGCCUGCAGGGAAAGGACUGGAGUGGAUUGGAGGUGCACAUUAUGGACACAACACAUACUACAAAGAUUCACUAAAGAACAAGUUCACCAUCAACUUAGACACUUCAAGCAAGACGGUGACUCUAAAUGGACAGAAUAUGCAGCCUGAAGACACUGCUGUGUAUUACUGUGCGAGAAUGCCACAGUAA
Molecule: non-coding RNA, 354 nt
Organism: Pundamilia nyererei
Lineage: Eukaryota; Metazoa; Chordata; Actinopteri; Cichliformes; Cichlidae
Source: the annotation of a RefSeq genome assembly